Molecule: long non-coding RNA, 289 nt
Filed under: Sorghum bicolor (sorghum)
Lineage: Eukaryota; Viridiplantae; Streptophyta; Magnoliopsida; Poales; Poaceae
Description: long non-coding RNA (SBIC_LNC014421)
Source: RNAcentral
UGCACAUGUGAGUUUUAUUACUGAUCAAGUAUUCAUUGCAGAUGUUUGAUGACGCUAUAUGUGAAUUGUGGAAAGAGGAUCAAGGUGCUCAUGGUGGCUAUUUUCAUUAGUCAUGAAAGAUUUUGUUGUGCGAGCAAAUCAUACGAGUUAUGUGUUGUACAAGUCAACAUCUUAGUUUUGUAGAUACUUGAGUGUAGCUUGGUUAUUGACUUAGUAUUUCGUGUGAAAUAUUGUACAAGUACAAAUGUUGAUAGUUUCAAUAAAAAUGAUGGGAAAUAUUUGUCAAUUA